AGAGUUUGAUCCUGGCUCAGGAUGAACGCUGGCGGCGUGCCUAAUACAUGCAAGUCGAGCGAAUGGAUUAAGAGCUUGCCCUUAUGAAGUUAGCGGCGGACGGGUGAGUAACACGUGGGUAACCUGCCCAUAAGACUGGGAUAACUCCGGGAAACCGGGGCUAAUACCGGAUAACAUUUUGAACCGCAUGGUUCGAAAUUGAAAGGCGGCUUCGGCUGUCACUUAUGGAUGGACCCGCGUCGCAUUAGCUAGUUGGUGAGGUAACGGCUCACCAAGGCAACGAUGCGUAGCCGACCUGAGAGGGUGAUCGGCCACACUGGGACUGAGACACGGCCCAGACUCCUACGGGAGGCAGCAGUAGGGAAUCUUCCGCAAUGGACGAAAGUCUGACGGAGCAACGCCGCGUGAGUGAUGAAGGCUUUCGGGUCGUAAAACUCUGUUGUUAGGGAAGAACAAGUGCUAGUUGAAUAAGCUGGCACCUUGACGGUACCUAACCAGAAAGCCACGGCUAACUACGUGCCAGCAGCCGCGGUAAUACGUGGGUGGCAAGCGUUAUCCGGAAUUAUGGGGCGUAAAGCGCGCGCAGGUGGUUUCUUAAGUCUGAUGUGAAAGCCCACGGC
RNAcentral lists this ribosomal RNA (620 nucleotides) under uncultured Bacillota bacterium. Its description in RNAcentral is "bacterial SSU rRNA". It matches the Rfam family "Bacterial small subunit ribosomal RNA", at positions 8 to 608 of the family's 1533-position model. Lineage: Bacteria; Bacillati; Bacillota. The record is from RNAcentral.